GACGAACGUUGGCGGCGUGCUUAACACAUGCAAGUCGAACGGAAAGGCCCUGCUUUUGUGGGGUGCUCGAGUGGCGAACGGGUGAGUAACACGUGAGUAACCUGCCCUUGACUUUGGGAUAACUUCAGGAAACUGGGGCUAAUACCGGAUAGGAGCUCCUGCUGCAUGGUGGGGGUUGGAAAGUUUCGGCGGUUGGGGAUGGACUCGCGGCUUAUCAGCUUGUUGGUGGGGUAGUGGCUUACCAAGGCUUUGACGGGUAGCCGGCCUGAGAGGGUGACCGGCCACAUUGGGACUGAGAUACGGCCCAGACUCCUACGGGAGGCAGCAGUGGGGAAUAUUGCACAAUGGGCGGAAGCCUGAUGCAGCAACGCCGCGUGCGGGAUGACGGCCUUCGGGUUGUAAACCGCUUUCGCCUGUGACGAAGCGUGAGUGACGGUAAUGGGUAAAGAAGCACCGGCUAACUACGUGCCAGCAGCCGCGGUGAUACGUAGGGUGCGAGCGUUGUCCGGAUUUAUUGGGCGUAAAGGGCUCGUAGGUGGUUGAUCGCGUCGGAGGUGUAAUCUUGGGGCUUAACCCUGAGCGUGCUUUCGAUACGGGUUGACUUGAGGAAGGUAGGGGAGAAUGGAAUUCCUGGUGGAGCGGUGGAAUGCGCAGAUAUCAGGAGGAACACCAGUGGCGAAGGCGGUUCUCUGGGCCUUUCCUGACGCUGAGGAGCGAAAGCGUGGGGAGCGAACAGGCUUAGAUACCCUGGUAGUCCACGCUGUAAACGGUGGGUACUAGGUGUGGGGUCCAUUCCACGGGUUCCGUGCCGUAGCUAACGCUUUAAGUACCCCGCCUGGGGAGUACGGCCGCAAGGCUAAAACUCAAAGGAAUUGACGGGGCCCCGCACAAGCGGCGGAGCAUGCGGAUUAAUUCGAUGCAACGCGUAGAACCUUACCUGGGUUUGACAUGGAUCGGGAGUGCUCAGAGAUGGGUGUGCCUCUUUUGGGGUCGGUUCACAGGUGGUGCAUGCCUGUCGUCAGCUCGUGUCGUGAGAUGUUGGGUUAAGUCCCGCAACGAGCGCAACCCUUGUUCACUGUUGCCAGCACGUUAUGGUGGGGACUCAGUGGAGACCGCCGGGGUCAACUCGGAGGAAGGUGGGGAUGACGUCAAGUCCUCAUGCCCCUUAUGUCCAGGGCUUCACGCAUGCUACAAUGGCUGGUACAGAGAGUGGCGAGCCUGUGAGGGUGAGCGAAUCUCGGAAAGCCGGUCUCAGUUCGGAUUGGGGUCUGCAACUCGACCUCAUGAAGUCGGAGUCGCUAGUAAUCGCAGAUCAGCAACGCUGCGGUGAAUACGUUCCCGGGGC
This 1345-nucleotide ribosomal RNA is filed under the name uncultured bacterium. Its description in RNAcentral is "bacterial SSU rRNA". It matches the Rfam family "Bacterial small subunit ribosomal RNA", at positions 28 to 1380 of the family's 1533-position model. The record is from RNAcentral.